Molecule: long non-coding RNA, 234 nt
Filed under: Nicotiana benthamiana
Lineage: Eukaryota; Viridiplantae; Streptophyta; Magnoliopsida; Solanales; Solanaceae
Description: long non-coding RNA (NBEN_LNC026704)
Source: RNAcentral
AAAAUCAUUUAUCGUCCACAUGAAAGCUGCUCGCAUUUGGAAUAUCUCCUUAGUAGAGGCAUCGUACGUUUCUACACCAACAUCCCAUAAUUCAUUUAACUCUUCUAUUAGAGGUUGCAAAAAGACAUCAAUAUUAUUUUCAGGCGCUUUUGGUCCAGGAAUAAGUAAGGACAGAGUGAAAAACUCUUGUUUCAUGCACAUCCAUGGUGGAAGAUUAUAUGGCAUUAAAAUCAC